UUGUAUUAGCUUUAGUACAAAAUUGCACUAAACUUGAGACAUUUAUUUUGGGACGGAGGGAGUAUUAAGGGACGAUGCGGCAUGAGUGAUUAACCAUCUGAAGACGUGCAGCUAACUCGAUCCAUUUUAUGUGGUUGAUCAAUAGAACAGGAAUUCUCGUGGCAGUGUCGAGUGGGGCGGCGGGAUGAUCUGGCCAUGCACGAUGAAGGGUAACUUAGUCAUUUUAUGAAGGAUAUUUUGGGCAGGGGAAAUAUCUUCGAGCAUGCUGUGGAUGCUGUUUCUUUUUCGCUUGGUCGUAUUAGAUGUCAUGCUAUGGUUCGGUUUGCUUAUGAAGAAGCUGCUGCGAAGGUUGUUUCUCUUUCGUUCAGUUGUAUUAAGAUGUCGUCCGGGCUACAUCAUGGCAUGCAUGGCUGCUGAUUUAAGAAACAUCUAGUUUCGGUGAUUUUAAUUAAUCAUGCUAUUGAUCUUAAUUGUAGGCACUUUACCAGCUUAGUAGAUCCUGUCUGAUGGGAGUGCCACUCAAACUUGCAUUGCUUUGUAAGGACAACCACAAUCUUGACUGGUGAAUGCCACUAUUUGCAUCCAUGCGCAAGUGUUACAAUGUUCUUGAUUUUUUUUUUGCGGGGAUGUUCUUCUUGAUCUCUAUGUCUGUGAAACCUCAUUUAAGUCACUUUGAUCGAAUUGCUCAGAUCAGGUAUGCCCCCCUGUUGGGAACAAACCUCCUAAAUCACACUGCAUCAU
This 741-nucleotide long non-coding RNA is filed under the name Hordeum vulgare. RNAcentral's name for it is "long non-coding RNA (HVUL_LNC010956)". The record is from RNAcentral. Lineage: Eukaryota; Viridiplantae; Streptophyta; Magnoliopsida; Poales; Poaceae.